Molecule: ribosomal RNA, 440 nt
Filed under: uncultured bacterium
Lineage: Bacteria
Description: partial 16S ribosomal RNA
Rfam family: Bacterial small subunit ribosomal RNA
Source: RNAcentral
CCUACGGGAGGCAGCAGUGGGGAAUAUUGCACAAUGGGGGAAACCCUGAUGCAGCGACGCCGCGUGAGCGAAGAAGUAAUUCGUUAUGUAAAGCUCUAUCAGCAGGGAAGAAAAUGACGGUACCUGAGUAAGAAGCCCCGGCUAACUACGUGCCAGCAGCCGCGGUAAUACGUAGGGGGCAAGCGUUAUCCGGAUUUACUGGGUGGAAAGGGAGCGUAGACGGCAGUGCAAGUCUGGAGUGAAAGGCGGGGGCUCAACCCCCGGACUGCUCUGGAAACUGUACGGCUGGAGUGCAGGAGAGGUAAGUGGAAUUCCUAGUGUAGCGGUGAAAUGCGUAGAUAUUAGGAGGAACACCAGUGGCGAAGGCGGCUUACUGGACUGUAACUGACGUUGAGGCUCGAAAGCGUGGGGAGCAAACAGGAUUAGAUACCCUAGUAGUC